This 247-nucleotide unclassified non-coding RNA is filed under the name uncultured Pleosporales. Its description in RNAcentral is "sequence contains 5.8S rRNA gene, ITS2, 28S rRNA gene". Lineage: Eukaryota; Fungi; Ascomycota; Dothideomycetes; Pleosporales. The record is from RNAcentral.
AACGCACAUUGCGCCCUUUGGUAUUCCUUAGGGCAUGCCUGUUCGAGCGUCAUCUAACCCUUCAAGCUCCGCUUGGUGUUGGGCGCUUGUCCCGCCACUGGCGUGGACUCGCCUUGAAAACAUUGGUGGCCAUCUGUAGGGCUAUUAUGAGCGCAGUACAUCUCGCUGCUCAGGCUCCUCAGGUGGUGUCCAGCAAGAACCCCCAAGAAUUGACCUCGGAUCAGGUAGGGAUACCCGCUGAACUUAA